RNAcentral lists this long non-coding RNA (349 nucleotides) under Sus scrofa (pig). RNAcentral describes it as "lncRNA (ENSSSCG00065068157.1)". Lineage: Eukaryota; Metazoa; Chordata; Mammalia; Artiodactyla; Suidae. The record is from RNAcentral.
GGCCCCGACUCGCCCUUCUCCCCAUCAGGCUCCGCCCCCAGCGCACGCUCAGCCCCGCCCCCCACCUGCUCUCGGGGGCCGCCUCCCCCGAAGCAGCGCCCCACGCAGUCCCUCCCGGCUGCCAAAUGGGCUACUCCUCUCCUCUGAGCCCGAGCUUCUGAAAGAAAACAAAGUUACUGAAAACUCAGACUUUACAGAAAUGCACAAAUUAGAAUGGAAGGAAUCACCAAAGCCCCACCUCCAGAUAAACUUGUACAGACGCCAAUCUGGUAAAUCGUCAUUGCUUAUUUUGAAAAUAAAUGGUUUUACACUUUGCUGGGACUGUGGUGACAGCACCACAAAAUUGGUG